Uranotaenia lowii is the source of this 920-nucleotide long non-coding RNA. RefSeq lists it as uncharacterized. The record is from RefSeq and is a predicted model, not a curated record. NCBI's taxonomy places the organism in Eukaryota, Metazoa, Arthropoda, Insecta, Diptera, Culicidae. The transcript is spliced from 4 exons.
UUCCUGUUCUUUCUGUCCGUGACCGCCUGAGGGAGCAGUAGUGCGCGCCGUGUUCUUUAAACUCGAAGGAACAAACAAACAGUGCGACUAAAACAACACGUUAAAAGUGAAGCAAAAUUGUAUCCUAUAAGCUAAAUUAGUACGUACAAUAACGUGUUAAAAGCAAUCGAAAUCGAAGUAAACAACAAAGAGACGAAGCACAUUGUUAAACAACAGGAAAAGGUCCAACAGGGCCUUUUUCUUUUGGUUUCGACUGGUUCUUCGGAACCAAUAGAACAUCAUCCCCAGGUUACCGACAACUCCGGACAGAAAAGCACACACAAGAUCGAACUAGACCCAAAAUUUGACCUCGAGUGUGACAUAACCUAGCCUCGGAACGGAGCGCGUGCAGAAAUCCAAAAACAACACCUUCCGACUGAAACCAGCAGAAUGCCACCUCGGAAACCAAGUUGCCAACAUCGAGUCGACACGCUUCGGGUUGAGCCGUUCCCAGCGGUGCCAAAACCGCCGUUAGGUGGGCAUGGUUCUGCAGAUCUGCCGUUCUCAACCGUCUGGCUUCGUAACUGGCUGUGGCGGUAAAUUGCAAGCCGAAAUCAACAUCGUAGCGAUGCUGCGAUCCGACAACAUAAACAUAAACUGUAUCGCAAGUAUAUAUAUUAUGUGACGUCACGUUAGGGCCCAUUCUUAGAAUUAAAUAUGUAAUUGUAAUUGUUGUUUACCAAACUGUAAAUGUAGACACUCGUAACCACUUUACACUUCCGGAAUUUGUUUCGUGUUCGAACUCCAUUUUCAAACCUCGCCCUGGGGUGGUCAUCUAAAGAAGUUCAGGCUAGAUUUCCUUUUCUUGUUUAAAUAGUUCAGCUCUGGUUGAUAGCAUGAGAGGUACCCACCCAUUUCGACACCCUUGAAAGUACAUGUUG